CAGCCGCCGCGGUAAUACGGAGGGGGCAAGCGUUAUCCGGAAUUAUUGGGCGUAAAGGGUACGUAGGUGGCCUUUUAAGCGUAGGGUAUAAGGCAAUGGCUCAACCAUUGUUCGCCCUAUGAACUGGAAGGCUUGAGUGCAGGAGAGGAUAGCGGAAUUCCUAGUGUAGCGGUGGAAUGCAUAGAUAUUAGGAGGAACAUCAGCGGCGAAGGCGGCUUUCUGGACUGCAACUGACACUGAGGUACGAAAGCGUGGGGAGCGAACAGGAUUAGAUACCCCCGUAGUCCCUGUCUCUUAUACA
Molecule: ribosomal RNA, 301 nt
Filed under: uncultured bacterium
Lineage: Bacteria
Description: partial 16S ribosomal RNA
Rfam family: Bacterial small subunit ribosomal RNA
Source: RNAcentral